GCGCCUGAUGGGGCGGUUUCCGCCCGGGGCGGCGGACGCCCCGCAACGAAAUAUUACUCGUCAGUACACCGGGAGCCUUCCCGGUGGGCAACC
Molecule: transfer RNA, 93 nt
Filed under: Streptomyces rubrolavendulae
Lineage: Bacteria; Bacillati; Actinomycetota; Actinomycetes; Kitasatosporales; Streptomycetaceae
Description: tRNA-Pro
Source: RNAcentral